UACGUAGGGUGCAAGCGUUGUCCGGAAUUAUUGGGCGUAAAGAGCUCGUAGGCGGUCUGUUGCGUCGGCUGUGAAAACCCGGGGCUCAACUCCGGGCCUGCAGCCGAUACGGGCAGACUAGAGUUCGGCAGGGGAGACUGGAAUUCCUGGUGUAGCGGUGAAAUGCGCAGAUAUCAGGAGGAACACCGGUGGCGAAGGCGGGUCUCUGGGCCGAUACUGACGCUGAGGAGCGAAAGCGUGGGGAGCGAACAGA
This 253-nucleotide ribosomal RNA is filed under the name uncultured bacterium. RNAcentral's name for it is "partial 16S ribosomal RNA". It matches the Rfam family "Bacterial small subunit ribosomal RNA", at positions 524 to 776 of the family's 1533-position model. The record is from RNAcentral.